RNAcentral lists this ribosomal RNA (531 nucleotides) under uncultured bacterium. Its description in RNAcentral is "bacterial SSU rRNA". It matches the Rfam family "Bacterial small subunit ribosomal RNA", at positions 56 to 582 of the family's 1533-position model. The record is from RNAcentral.
UGCAAGUCGAGCGGCAGCGCGGGGGCAACCCUGGCGGCGAGCGGCGAACGGGUGAGUAAUGUAUCGGAACGUACCCAGUCGUGGGGGAUAACUAUCCGAAAGGAUAGCUAAUACCGCAUACGUCCUGAGGGAGAAAGCGGGGGACCGUAAGGCCUCGCGCGAUUGGAGCGGCCGAUAUCGGAUUAGCUAGUUGGUGAGGUAAAGGCUCACCAAGGCGACGAUCCGUAGCUGGUCUGAGAGGACGACCAGCCACACUGGAACUGAGACACGGUCCAGACUCCUACGGGAGGCAGCAGUGGGGAAUUUUGGACAAUGGGGGCAACCCUGAUCCAGCCAUUCCGCGUGAGUGAAGAAGGCCUUCGGGUUGUAAAGCUCUUUCAGCAGGAACGAAACGGUGGCUACUAAUACUAGCUACUAAUGACGGUACCUGAAGAAGAAGCACCGGCUAACUACGUGCCAGCAGCCGCGGUAAUACGUAGGGUGCGAGCGUUAAUCGGAAUUACUGGGCGUAAAGCGUGCGCAGGCGGUUCC